UGACAUGAGGAACCUCCUCUCACCGCGCACGUGGAGCGCUAAGGCGAGGGUGAAGACAGACGUGUUUGGCCCAUGGAACGAAGAGGACGGUCCCGGCUCGGAGAUUGACCAUAAGGUGGCCGUGCUGUUCACGGAGCAGAUGGGCGAUGAGAAGC
RNAcentral lists this non-coding RNA (155 nucleotides) under Haptolina brevifila. Lineage: Eukaryota; Haptophyta; Prymnesiales; Prymnesiaceae. The record is from RNAcentral.